This 72-nucleotide transfer RNA is filed under the name Ciona intestinalis (vase tunicate). It matches the Rfam family "tRNA". Rfam says of the family: Transfer RNA (tRNA) molecules are approximately 80 nucleotides in length. Lineage: Eukaryota; Metazoa; Chordata; Ascidiacea; Phlebobranchia; Cionidae. The record is from Rfam by way of RNAcentral.
GGCGCCGUGGCGUAGUGGUUAGCGAGCCUGCCUCCAACCCAGAAGUAAUGGGUUCAAGGCUCGUCGCUGCCA